RNAcentral lists this long non-coding RNA (233 nucleotides) under Elaeis guineensis (African oil palm). Its description in RNAcentral is "long non-coding RNA (EGUI_LNC049803)". Lineage: Eukaryota; Viridiplantae; Streptophyta; Magnoliopsida; Arecales; Arecaceae. The record is from RNAcentral.
ACCCCAUGAGUCGACUCAUGACUAAAAGGGCUGAACGGCAUGCGAAAAUUUUGACUGACACACUCUAUGAGUCGACCUCAUGUGUCGACCCCUUAGCAUGAGUCGAUCCUAUGAGUCGAUCUCUGCUGUUUUGCAGGCUAAAAUUAUAGAACAGUCAUUUUCUGCUCUUUUCCAUAGAGAUCGACCCUAUGAGUCGACCCAUGAGCAUGAGUCGACCCUAUGAGUCGACCCCU